UCGGGAAUUUUGGGCAAUGGGCGAAAGCCUGACCCAGCAACGCCGCGUGAAGGAUGAAGUAUUUCGGUAUGUAAACUUCGUAAGAAUAGGAAGAAUAAAUGACGGUACUAUUUGUAAGGUCCGGCUAACUACGUGCCAGCAGCCGCGGUAAUACGUAGGGACCAAGCGUUGUUCGGAUUUACUGGGCGUAAAGGGCGCGUAGGCGGUGUGUCAAGUCAGUUGUGAAAUCUCCGAGCUUAACUCGGAACGGUCAACUGAUACUGUCACACUAGAGUACAGAAGGGGCAAUCGGAAUUCUUGGUGUAGCGGUGAAAUGCGUAGAUAUCAAGAGGAACACCUGAGGCGAAGGCGGGUUGCUGGGCUGAUACUGACGCUGAGGCGCGAAAGCUAGGGUAGCAAACAGGAUUAGAUACCCAAGUAGUCCCUGAGCGGGCUGGCAAGGCGCAU
RNAcentral lists this ribosomal RNA (447 nucleotides) under uncultured bacterium. Its description in RNAcentral is "bacterial SSU rRNA". It matches the Rfam family "Bacterial small subunit ribosomal RNA", at positions 355 to 825 of the family's 1533-position model. The record is from RNAcentral.